This 253-nucleotide ribosomal RNA is filed under the name uncultured bacterium. Its description in RNAcentral is "partial 16S ribosomal RNA". It matches the Rfam family "Bacterial small subunit ribosomal RNA", at positions 524 to 776 of the family's 1533-position model. The record is from RNAcentral.
UACGUAGGUGGCAAGCGUUGUCCGGAAUUAUUGGGCGUAAAGCGCGCGCAGGCGGUCGAUUAAGUCGGGUGGGAAAGCCCACGGCUCAACCGGGGAGGGUCAUUGGAAACUGGGGGACUUGAGUGCAGGAGAGAAGAGUGGAAUUCCACGUGUAGCGGUGAAAUGCGUAGAGAUGGGGAGGAACACCAGUGGCGAAGGCGACUCUUUGGCCUGUAACUGACGCUGAGGCGCGAAAGCGUGGGGAGCAAACAGG